Molecule: long non-coding RNA, 1819 nt
Organism: Passer domesticus (house sparrow)
Lineage: Eukaryota; Metazoa; Chordata; Aves; Passeriformes; Passeridae
Exons: 3
Source: RefSeq, a predicted model, not a curated record
ACUGCUCUGCCGGCCUGGAAGGAGUUGUUCUUCAAUGACCCCAUGUACCCUCCUGGUGUCCUUACAGCAGGUUGCUGCAGGCUGUAUCUGCUUCCCAGAGGCUUUGACAGCUUUAUAAAGCGUAAAAGAAAGUUAGGGUCACAUGGCAAAGAAGCAUUAUGGGUUGUUCUGUUUCUGAGAGUGCAAUGAAGCAGCCAUAAUCUUCCAGCAUUCUUAUGGAUCUGUUUCUUUGGGAUUCAUCAAGAAGAGCCCUAAAGAGGCUGAAGUCAUCUGUCCUGAAAUCCAUGGUUGCAAUCUUCCUUGCUUCCCUGCUUCUUCCUUGCCCAUUGCUGAACUCCACAAUCUCAGGGUCACUGUGGCCAAGGCAGCACCUCCAACCUUCACAUCUCUGACAAGGCCUUCCCUGUUUGUCACUAUGAGGCAAACAUUCCUUGUGGGAUCCUCCACUGCCUCUGUCAGGAAGCUGCCAUCAAUUUACAGGAGCUUCCUAGACUGUGUGUGCUUUGUUGUGUUACUUCAACCACCUGAAUAAGAAUGAUCUGGGGUGCUGAUUAAAAAAGAACAUAAAGUCGCAACAGUAAAGGUUGCUUGCUCCAGUUGGUUUCUGGUAAUUAUGAAGUAGAAUAUUGAAGUGUAAUAAUAAUGCAAGAAGUAAUUUAGAAAGUGCUGAUAUAAAGGUGACGAAAUAGCUAAGAAAAAGCACAUCUGAAUUGAUAUGGCUAAUAGAUGACUAUGAUAUUUUAUAACAGGAGAAAAUAUGGGUGGGAAGGAUGUUUCAUUAAAGCUAUCUUUCAGGUAAUUUCUGUUUGCAAGUGGAAUCAAUUUGCACAGACCACACUUUUAAUAUAAGAGAAAAACAUUUAACUUAAGGAAACAAGGAGAAUUUACCACGCACAGCAGGUUUGUCAUAGUGAUGUUCAGAUCUCACUGUACAUGUGGUCCAGUGCUCAUGGAUCCCUCUGAGCUGUGCGAUGAAGAAGAGGUAAUCCAUACACAUCCUAUCCCUCUGGGAGACAUUAUGUGAGCAAAACCAGACUUGACACCCAAGCUGGCUGUGCUCCUCUUUUGCUUGCUCCUUUGCCUCCAUAAAUGAAACUUUGCUUUGCAUUGGAUCUCCACAAAAAAUUUGAUUUUUUGGGGAUGUUCAGGUUUUUGCUAAUUGCAGGUGGAAGACCACAUUUGAGUUGUUGCACAUACACAAUUUUACUUCAUGUAAAUAGUAACAAGCUGCUUGCCCUGGGAAAGAUUACCUGGAUGCAGGUUCAGAGGUACAUUCUGGUGCAACACUAAGGACUCAGGCAAUUCUGCCUCUGCCAGUCUGACUGUAUGGCAAACAAAAAAACAAUAACUUCUACCAAGCUGAAUUCUACCAGUGCAUUUAGCUUCUAGAUAUUUGCAAGCUCACACUUUUCUAUAAUUUAAUAAUAGUAGUGCAAGUUAAUUGAAUUUAAUUUAAUCAAAACUGAAAGAUGGUAACAUAUGAUUGAUGAGAAGCCUCUAAAAAAGAUGUUCCAGGCUUGACUACCUGACACACUAGAAAUUAGAAAUUUUCUAUCUCUUAAUAACAAUUUACAUCCUAUUACAUGUUUUAUGUAUUCAAAAUUAAAGCAUUCUUUUUCCUCAUUUAUUUACCCCAGAUGUACAGAUAAAAAAAUUCCUCCUGGUCUUCAUUUUACUUGACUGAAAGUCAGUUCAUCUAAACUCACCUCUUAUGAAGCCUUGGUCAUUGCUCAGAGCAUACCAGUACUUAUUCUUUACAUCUGUUUUACAUCUGAUUUCCUUGUACCUAAAUAUGUGUUGUGAAGUCUGUAUUUUAAAU